Molecule: ribosomal RNA, 451 nt
Filed under: uncultured bacterium
Lineage: Bacteria
Description: partial 16S ribosomal RNA
Rfam family: Bacterial small subunit ribosomal RNA
Source: RNAcentral
UAGGGAAUCUUCCACAAUGGACGCAAGUCUGAUGGAGCAACGCCGCGUGAGUGAAGAAGGCUUUCGGGUCGUAAAACUCUGUUAUUGAAGAAGAACGUGUGUGACAGUAACUGGUCAUGCAGUGACGGUAUUCAAUCAGAAAGUCACGGCUAACUACGUGCCAGCAGCCGCGGUAAUACGUAGGUGGCAAGCGUUGUCCGGAUUUAUUGGGCGUAAAGCGAGUGCAGGCGGUCUUUUAAGUCUGAUGUGAAAGCCUUCGGCUUAACCGAAGAAGGGCAUCGGAAACUGGGAGACUUGAGUGCAGAAGAGGAGAGUGGAACUCCAUGUGUAGCGGUGAAAUGCGUAGAUAUAUGGAAGAACACCAGUGGCGAAGGCGGCUCUCUGAUCUGUAACUGACGCUGAGGCUCGAAAGCGUGGGUAGCAAACAGGAUUAGAUACCCUGGUAGUCCAC